AUGCCCCGCCUCGUAACCUGCAGGAGGGAGGAACGCGGCCGCGGCGCUACCGGCGGGCCGCUGUUUCCCGGGGGGGCCGUAUUGCGAGCGGACCGCGGGCGGGCGGGCGGCGGCAGCCGGGCCCCGCUCCCGCCCCGCUCCUCCCCUUCCCUGCCCUCCCCUUCCCCCUCCCUGCCCUCCCCUCCUCUUCCCAGUCCCUUCCCUCUUCCCUUCCCGCCCUCUCCGUCGGCAGCCGGCGGGAGCCAUGCACGGCGGCGGCGGGGCGGCGGCGGCCGGGCGGCGGUAGCGGCGAUGGCGGGGCCGGGCGCGCUGCAGCGGGCGCGGCGCCUGUGCCACUGGGGCCCGGCGGUGGCGCUGGCCGUGGUGGCCGUGUGCUCCGCCACCGCCAUGGCCGACGCCGCGCUCUGGUACUGGCCCCUGGACACGGCCGGGGGAAGCGUCAACUUCGUGAUGCUGCUCAACUGGACCGUCAUGAUCCUCUACAACUACUUCAGCGCCAUGUUUGUGGGCCCCGGGUACGUCCCGCUGGGGUGGACGCCGGAAAAAUCUCAGGAUUGCAUGUAUCUCCAAUACUGUAAAGUGUGUCAGUCUUACAAGGCACCUCGCUCACAUCACUGUCGGAAGUGUAACAGAUGUGUGAUGAAGAUGGAUCACCACUGUCCUUGGAUCAACAACUGUUGUGGAUACCAGAAUCAUGCAUCUUUCACUCUGUUUCUCCUCUUAGCUCCACUGGGAUGCAUUCAUGCUUCUUUCAUAUUUAUUAUGACAAUGUACACUCAGCUUUACAACAGAAUAUCUUUUGGGUGGAGUUCUGUGAAGAUUGACAUGAGUGCAGCCAAAAGAGACCCUCGUCCCAUUAUUCCCUUUGGACUGUCUGCAUUUGCUGCAUCUUUAUUUGCCUUAGGACUGGCAUUAGGAACAACUAUUGCUGUUGGUAUGCUGUUUAUUAUCCAGAUGAAAGUAAUUUUGACAAAUAAAACUUCAAUCGAAUCCUGGAUUGAAGAAAAGGCCAAAGACAGAAUCCAGUACUACCAAACGGGUGAGACCUUUAUCUUCCCCUAUGAUAUGGGAAGUAAAUGGAAGAACUUCAGGCAAGUGUUUACAUGGUCUGGGAUUCCUGAGGGAGAUGGCCUGGACUGGCCAGUUAGAGAUGGAUGUCACCAGUACAGUUUGACGAUAGAGCAACUGAAACAGAAAGCAGACAAGCGAGUAAGAAGUGUGCGGUAUCGAGCCAUAGAAGAUUACAGUGGUGUCUGCUGCCCUGUGACUAAAGGUGUUAAAACAUUCUUCACAACACCGUGCACUGAAGAACCUAGAAUUGCACUGAGUAAAGGGGAUCUGAUUUUAGCCACCAGAGGCUUAAAACACUGGAUGUAUGGUGAGAAGAUUCUCAUCUCAGCUGCUGAUGAAUUGGCAGAGACACUGCUGAAAUACUCAUACAAGUAAAAGCAGUUACUGCAUCUCAAGAAAGAGGAAGAUCAACUGUUGAGAGGAAAACAGAGACAAAUUACAGUAAUAGAAAAUGUGGAAUAAGAGAACGAGGCUGGUUCCCUAGGAAGUGUGUGGAAAAAUACCAGUAUGACUCUGAAACGGAUCAACCAGUGGAUGGAGAGAAGAAAAGCAAAUAGCCUUCUAAUUUUUUUAAAUAUUAAAUGGAAUUUUUACUUCAGACCACAAUCCUUUACUUGAAAUUUUCUGUAUAUUACUUUAGACUUAUGCAAUGAAUAUGUUAGGACGAGGUUUUCUUUUCCUCACUGCUGAAAGGGUUGUAUAUGCCUGUGCCAUGGUUUGCAUACUUUUUAAACAAUAAAUAAUUGAAGAAGCCAUUCAGUGGAUUGCCUUCAAGGUGCAUCUUUUUCAUCACAAGUCAGGAUUGUUUUUUUCUGUUAAAUUACAUUCUGAGCAUUAAGAUUUUAGGUUUUUUCCUCAGCCGCAUCUGAUUGUUAUGCGUGCUGCUUAUCUUUUGUAUUCCUCUGAAGCUGCCCCUGGGAAUAAACACCUGAUUCAAAUUCCAGAUAAAAUUCGUUACUUGUGACUUUUAAUUAUGUGAAUUGUCCACCUCAAAUAAAUGAUACAUUCAUAUUCA
Onychostruthus taczanowskii (white-rumped snowfinch) is the source of this 2086-nucleotide RNA transcript. It is a transcript of the gene named zinc finger DHHC-type palmitoyltransferase 6, with no coding region annotated. NCBI's taxonomy places the organism in Eukaryota, Metazoa, Chordata, Aves, Passeriformes, Passeridae. The record is from RefSeq and is a predicted model, not a curated record. The transcript has 11 exons.